GGAGAAAAGCAGGGGAUCGCAAGACCUUGCGCUCAUUGAGCGGCCGAUGCCUGAUUAGCUAGUUGGUGAGGUAAAGGCUUACCAAGGCGACGAUCAGUAGCUGGUCUGAGAGGACGACCAGCCACACUGGGACUGAGACACGGCCCAGACUCCUACGGGAGGCAGCAGUGGGGAAUUUUGGACAAUGGGGGAAACCCUGAUCCAGCCAUGCCGCGUGAGUGAAGAAGGCCUUCGGGUUGUAAAGCUCUUUCAGCCGGAACGAAACGGUCACGGCUAAUACCUGUGACUACUGACGGUACCGGAAGAAGAAGCACCGGCUAACUACGUGCCAGCAGCCGCGGUAAUACGUAGGGUGCGAGCGUUAAUCGGAAUUACUGGGCGUAAAGCGUGCGCAGGCGGUUUUGU
Molecule: ribosomal RNA, 405 nt
Filed under: uncultured beta proteobacterium
Lineage: Bacteria; Pseudomonadati; Pseudomonadota; Betaproteobacteria
Description: bacterial SSU rRNA
Rfam family: Bacterial small subunit ribosomal RNA
Source: RNAcentral